AUGUUUAUGAUGAUAACUAUGAUAGGGACAUCUGAUUAUUAAUGAAUGAUUUAUCACUUUGUUCCAUAAGUACUGACUU
This 79-nucleotide small nucleolar RNA is filed under the name Lucilia cuprina (Australian sheep blowfly). Its description in RNAcentral is "Small nucleolar RNA Me28S-Cm2645". It matches the Rfam family "Small nucleolar RNA Me28S-Cm2645". Rfam says of the family: Me28S-Cm2645 is a member of the C/D class of snoRNA which contain the C (UGAUGA) and D (CUGA) box motifs. This family directs 2'-O-methylation of 28S C-2645. The record is from Rfam by way of RNAcentral. Lineage: Eukaryota; Metazoa; Arthropoda; Insecta; Diptera; Calliphoridae.